CUACGGGCCGCAGCAGUUAGGAAUAAUCUGCAAUGCGCGAAAGCGUGACAGUUUGAGCCAGAGUGCUUCUCAAAGAGAAGCUUUUGCCGAAUGUAAAAAGUUUGGAGAAUAAGGACUGGGCAAGACUAGUGCCAGCCGCCGCGGUAAUACUAGCGGUCCAAGUCGCAGCCAUUUUUAUUGGGUCUAAAACAUCCGUAGCUUGUCGAGUAAGUUUCCUAUGAAAUUUUAAGUCUUAAACUUAGAGCGUGUGGGAAGUACUGUUCGGCUAGAGACUGGAAGACGCAGAAAGUACGUUUAAAGUAACGGUAAAAUGUGUUGAUCUUAAGCGGACUAACAAUAGCGAAGGCAUUCUGCGAGGACAGUUCUGACAGUAAGGGAUGAAGGCUAGGGGCGCAAAACGGAUUAGAUACCCCCGUAGUC
RNAcentral lists this ribosomal RNA (420 nucleotides) under uncultured archaeon. RNAcentral's name for it is "partial 16S ribosomal RNA". It matches the Rfam family "Archaeal small subunit ribosomal RNA", at positions 323 to 746 of the family's 1478-position model. The record is from RNAcentral.